Molecule: long non-coding RNA, 447 nt
Organism: Vigna angularis (adzuki bean)
Lineage: Eukaryota; Viridiplantae; Streptophyta; Magnoliopsida; Fabales; Fabaceae
Exons: 3
Source: RefSeq, a predicted model, not a curated record
CACAUCUAUUGGUUUGAAAUUCCACAGGAGACUAGAAAUGAACAAAUUAUCUGAGGAUGUGUCUUCGUUUGUAAAUUGCCUUAGUCUUUCUUUGAUGCGAGAGAAGGUCAAACACAAGAGAGUACAAGCAACAAAAGAAUCUGGUAGCAAACCGCAAGAUGCUAUUAAGCAGAACCAACAAUAGCCAGAUAUGACUGAACUCGCCAAGGGUCUCCCAAGUAAUUGGCAGCAUUCCCAAUUGGAUCCAUCAGACGUCCUUCAUCUGAAACAAACUGAGCUCAAUGCAUUUCUAGAAGGCUUGUAUGCAACGCCAACAAACCGAAUAAACACUUCGUCCAUACCGGUCAUUCCACCGAACCCCAUUGAAGACAACAAAAUAGAGGACAUACUAAGGAAGCUUGUCAAUUUCUCAUGCCAACGUUAUCUUUCUCAACAUUGUAACUCAUC